Long non-coding RNA from Cyprinodon tularosa, 853 nucleotides. RefSeq lists it as uncharacterized. Lineage: Eukaryota; Metazoa; Chordata; Actinopteri; Cyprinodontiformes; Cyprinodontidae. The transcript has 3 exons. The record is from RefSeq and is a predicted model, not a curated record.
GACCCUGUCUGUGUGGGGUGAGCCGCGAGCGGGCCAUUAGCUGCAUAACGUUACAUUAGAGUCUAAUGUAACGUUAUGCAGCUAAUGGCAUUGAGCUGCAUUGAGCAAGCUUUGAUAUCGUUUUUGGAAAAAAAUGAAGCGGUCUAAACCAUCGGGAGCACAGGGACGAAAACGGAGAAAGGAGGAUGAGGAAAAGAAAGCAAAGUAUAGAGGUAAGUUUUCUCAUCUCAGCCAUUAACGUGUCAAACGAAAUAAAUUGCAUCAACUAAUGUUUCAUUGCAGUCACUUAGCUAUUGCUAGCUAACCCACCGUUACUUUGCUAGUUUGCUUUAGUAAACAUGCUAAUUACCAACCAUUUCAUUCGCAAAUUCUAAAACAACAACGUUUUUUAAUACUUAAAUAAUAUUUGCUAAAUUAACCUUAGAUUUUUCAGUAGCCAUAGAUGUGUAGAUUUGAACAAAAUCUAGUUUGGUUCUUACCGGGGCUUUUACUGCCUGAAAUAUUCAAAUUUGUUUCCAUGCUCAGUGUUUAGUGGCACCAAUGGUGAUAGUGGUGCUGUUCACCCUUCUGCACAGUUCAGGAAUAUACUAAAAUGUAUAUGUUUUCUUGUUUUUUUUUGCUAGAUGCACUCAGACAAUAUUUGCAGAGGCCAGCACCUGCUGAUCAUUCAUGUUCGCCUCUCUCUGAGCUUUCUGCAGGAGAAGGGACAUCCACUAGUACUCCAGGGACCAGUGGCACACAGGCCAACACACAGCCUGCAUUAGGUGAUGAAGAUGAAGGGACAUCCAGGACCACACCAAGCACUCUGGGCGCCAGUGAAACACAGACAGCUGAGACCAGGGACACACAGCCU